UCUAAUUUUAAACCCUCCUCUUCGCAAACGCAAAAACACCCUUUCUCUCUCUCUCUCUCUACCGUACUACCUGCCGACCCCUGCAAUGAUGGCGUCCUCGACCUCGGCUCUCCUCCCUCCCCAAUGCCCGGAAGAAGAAGAGAGGCAAAGUACAGGCUCAAGCACCUCAACACCCACUUCAACAACAACCUCUCCCCCCUCCCUCCUCCUCCUCCUCGCCUUCGUCUCCCCCGUCUCGCCGUCGCACCACGCCCUCUCUCUCUCGAGAGAGAGAGAGAGACUAGCGAUCGGUACCAUUCCGUUCCUACUCGUGCAUCAUCAAUCGAUCGAUCGAAUCGCGUCGAACAAACACAGGUUGAGAUGAGAUUCCGUGGAGGAUCGGGGGGUUGGAGGAGGUAGAGAAAGCUCGGUUGCUGACCUUGGCUCUCGAGUUCGGCUUCGACGAGCAGUCCGCCACCAACUGCUUGGACCGUCUCGUUUCCCUCUACGGUGACGAAGGUUGAGAGUAUAUCACUGUGGAGCACUGUGGCAAUGACUUCUUAGUAGAACUUGCCGAAACCAUGGAAGAUUCUAAGGAUUGGGAUGAUUUGCAAGCUGAGGAAUCAGAAGCUUGUGGAGUUUUGGCUGAUAUGUUUGGCCAAGAUAUCCAUAAUGGCGGUGAAUGCAAUGUCUUACAUGAUGUCAAUAUUAUAGAUGAUUCUCCACAACCUGAGGAAAACCAAAACUUUUCUUGAGGUGGAUUCCUCUACUGAUAGUGAAGAUGAAGACAAUAUAUUUGGCAGUAAAAUGGGCAGGAUAUCCACAUGCUAUAUUCCUGACCAAACUCCGAGGUAUUCUUUCACUCAACUUCUGGCCAGACGAUCUUUAGAAUCCAUGGACUAUAAGAGCACUGUCACUCAAGGUUCAAAAUCGUCAGUUCCAAAUAAAGGACAUUGGUCAGUUUCAAAUAAAGGACACUGCUCUUGGAAUUCAACAUCCAAACAAGGGACUCUGAGUUAUGACGAAUUGCAAGCCUUGGAUGACAUAUAAUUGGCAAAUGUUGUCAUAUUUGGAAACAAGGCAUUUCGACCAAUGCAGCAUCAGGUUUGUAAAGCUUCUGUAGCCAGGCAAGACUGCUUUAU
Molecule: long non-coding RNA, 1121 nt
Organism: Syzygium oleosum
Lineage: Eukaryota; Viridiplantae; Streptophyta; Magnoliopsida; Myrtales; Myrtaceae
Exons: 3
Source: RefSeq, a predicted model, not a curated record